This 468-nucleotide ribosomal RNA is filed under the name uncultured bacterium. Its description in RNAcentral is "partial 16S ribosomal RNA". It matches the Rfam family "Bacterial small subunit ribosomal RNA", at positions 28 to 507 of the family's 1533-position model. The record is from RNAcentral.
GACGAACGCUGGCGGCGUGCUUAACACAUGAAAGUCGAACGGAAAGGCCCUGCUUUUGUGGGGUGCUCGAGUGGCGAACGGGUGAGUAACACGUGAGUAACCUGCCCUUGGCUUUGGGAUAACUUCAGGAAACUGGGGCUAAUACCGGAUAGGAGCUCCUGCUGCAUGGUGGGGGUUGGAAAGUUUCGGCGGUUGGGGAUGGACUCGCGGCUUAUCAGCUUGUUGGUGGGGUAGUGGCUUACCAAGGCUUUGACGGGUAGCCGGCCUGAGAGGGUGACCGGCCACAUUGGGACUGAGAUACGGCCCAGACUCCUACGGGAGGCAGCAGUGGGGAAUAUUGCACAAUGGGCGGAAGCCUGAUGCAGCAACGCCGCGUGCGGGAUGACGGCCUUCGGGUUGUAAACCGCUUUCGCCUGUGACGAAGCGUGAGUGACGGUAAUGGGUAAAGAAGCACCGGCUAACUACGUG